Molecule: ribosomal RNA, 253 nt
Filed under: uncultured bacterium
Lineage: Bacteria
Description: partial 16S ribosomal RNA
Rfam family: Bacterial small subunit ribosomal RNA
Source: RNAcentral
UACGUAGGGUGCAAGCGUUGUCCGGAAUUACUGGGCGUAAAGAGCGCGCAGGCGGCUGGUCAAGUCCGAUGUGAAAGCUCCCGGCUUAACUGGGAAAUUGCAUCGGAAACUGAUCGGCUGGAAGGUGGGAGAGGGUAGCGGAAUUCCCGGUGUAGUGGUGAAAUGCGUAGAUAUCGGGAGGAACACCAGUGGCGAAAGCGGCUACCUGGCCCAUUCUUGACGCUGAGGCGCGAAAGCUAGGGGAGCAAACGGG